AAUGUAAAUAUUACCUUGUAGGACGGUAUGAUCUCAACAUGCCGGAGCUGACCUGCGAGGGAUGCCAGGCAACUUGGACUGCAGGACUUGAUGACCUAAUAAAAACUGGAUACUGGCCUGCCACCCUUCAUUUUGUAACAAUUUAUGAGACAGACCUGUUUUAUACAUUUGAAGACAUGAAGAUGGCAUCACCCGGGAUGUCUUUUCAGGCAUAUCUAAGAAUGCUUGAGAAGCGGACUGCUCGCUUUGGCCGUACUGGGAAGAUCUCAUCAGACAGCUUCCAAAAAAGCUUUUUUUGAAUGGGCUGCUGUACAAUAUGAGGUUGACUCCACCUGCAAGGAGGAGAAAUUCAUCUGUCCUGCCUGUACCCCAGCAAUGCUUUCUGUCUCAGUGGAUGGAAACCGCAAGCGUUACCGCUUCAAAAGUACUGCAAGAUCUCAGGUGCGGGCCAUCUUUGACGGUGUCUUCAUUGCAAAAGAUGACGAUGUGACCAGAUUUGUGGAUCACAUCCACAGCAAAAAAAAACAUGUCACUGGAAGGAACAAUUGUGGUGGGGAGUGGUCAGCUGCCAGAGAGACCUCCCAAAGAUCAAUCAGUAAGGUGGAUGAGGAGGGACUGGAGCUGGCAGUGUGCAGGCAUGAUGUCUUGCUGGCUGCCCUUAAUAUGUUUGUACAUGCUAAAGCGCAUGACUUCAAAUGUGAGGUCAAAUGGAGUAGCAAACCAAGAAGGUGCUGGUAAAACACUAGGGGAGGAAGUAGAGCAAUGUAAUGCUUUCCUCUCCAGGAUAUCAGUCACCACAAAGCAUAUGUCAAAAGCAGGAUGCAAUGACAUGCUGACACUCCUGGCCAUAAGAUGGAACCAGCAGAAAUGUCCAAACCUGGCUCCUGCACUUUCCCAGAGAUACCAUAAGACAUCUAAAGCUUUCAAUAUCCCGAUUGGGGACCUGGAAACCCUGAAAGCCCAGCAUCAACUGGGUGAACAUACUGUGGAAGAAUUUGUGCAAGAAGUAAAAGAAUGGGCAGAUGGAGAAAUUGACCAUCAAGGCACACCACAAGCUUUGUGUAAGAAGAUUGAGGCCUUCACAACCAGCAUCAACACGAGAGCUCAACUCCUAUAUCGGAAAAAUGACCGCAACAAAGGCCGACAUAGAAUUCGCAGAAAAAUAAGGCAACAGAAGACCACUUUAAAGGCCAUGGUAGCGGAGUACAACAGUCUCAUUGCAUGGAUAGCGUUCUGGACACAGAACAUCCCUGGCCUUGGCAAAUUACACAGAGUGGCUCUGCUGAUUUCAGCACAAAGAAAGAAGUCUUCGAUAGGGUCAUGGGUGUUCAAAGGCUUCAAGAGGAGAAGAAGAUCCUUGUGAAAGAAAUGAAGCAGCACUGGGAGUCUCUCAAAGCCCAUGCCAGGGUCUUGUCCGAGUUGUCUCAGCAUCAGAGUGAAGACGCCAUGCAAAGACAUCUCACAGAGAAAGCAACAAAGGGUCACACCUGCCUCAUCCUUCCAGUGGGAAAUGAGAGAGCUGCAGCGGCAUACAAGAAAACACUACCUGCAUGUGCUGUCAUCAGCAGAUGACAUAAUGGACACAAUGGACAGUUCAGAUGAGUUUGACAUUAGCUGUGAAGAUUCAGAGUCAGAUGCAAUGUAAAACAGGAAGAUGUGGUGCUCAUGAUCACAGUGCACCGUGUGCGACACAUGGUCACACAGAGCAUGUGGCUUUAAAAAGUAACUAACGUAUGUGCUCAUUGUCAGGAUUAAGUUGGAGAUGACAGUUGUAGUUUUUGUAUUAGGUUGUUGUUAUUUUUGCAUUUGGUUUUGAAAUGUUUAAUCACUUAUAUAAGGUUUGAUUUUUCUACUGGGUUGUGGGAAGUUCCUGGUUAAUGUUGUCUUACAUCUUUACAACACAAACCACUGUCCUUUACUGUCUUAUCUUUGAUUCACGUUCAGUUCUGCAUCUUUUCAGGGAUUUUCUUUCCAGUUGAUCUUUACUGUUUGAUUAAUAAUUGUUCUUUAAUGUUUAAUUAAACAAAGGCACAAUAAA
Molecule: RNA transcript, 2038 nt
Organism: Dicentrarchus labrax (European seabass)
Lineage: Eukaryota; Metazoa; Chordata; Actinopteri; Moronidae
Exons: 11
Source: RefSeq, a predicted model, not a curated record